GUGGGGAAUAUUGGGCAAUGGGCGAAAGCCUGACCCAGCGACGCCGCGUGAAGGAAGAAGGCCUUCGGGUUGUAAACUUCUUUGACGAGGGACGAAGGAAGUGACGGUACCUCGAAAACAAGCCACGGCUAACUACGUGCCAGCAGCCGCGGUAAUACGUAGGUGGCGAGCGUUGUCCGGAUUUACUGGGUGUAAAGGGCGCGUAGGCGGGAUUGCAAGUCAGGCGUGAAAUACCGGGGCUUAACCUCGGGGCUGCGCUUGAAACUGUGAUUCUUGAGUGCCGGAGAGGCAGGCGGAAUUCCUAGUGUAGCGGUGAAAUGCGUAGAUAUUAGGAGGAACACCAGUGGCGAAGGCGGCCUGCUGGACGGUAACUGACGCUGAGGCGCGAAAGCGUGGGGAGCAAACAGGAUUAGAAACCCGAGUAGUCC
Molecule: ribosomal RNA, 428 nt
Filed under: uncultured bacterium
Lineage: Bacteria
Description: bacterial SSU rRNA
Rfam family: Bacterial small subunit ribosomal RNA
Source: RNAcentral